RNAcentral lists this ribosomal RNA (615 nucleotides) under uncultured bacterium. RNAcentral describes it as "bacterial SSU rRNA". The stretch from base 1 to 517 matches the Rfam family "Bacterial small subunit ribosomal RNA", at positions 338 to 873 of the family's 1533-position model. The record is from RNAcentral.
CCUACGGGAGGCAGCAGUGGGGAAUAUUGGACAAUGGGCGAAAGCCUGAUCCAGCAAUGCCGCGUGAGUGAUGAAGGCCUUAGGGUUGUAAAGCUCUUUUACCCGGGAUGAUAAUGACAGUACCGGGAGAAUAAGCUCCGGCUAACUCCGUGCCAGCAGCCGCGGUAAUACGGAGGGAGCUAGCGUUGUUCGGAAUUACUGGGCGUAAAGCGUACGUAGGCGGUUAUUCAAGUCAGAGGUGAAAGCCUGGAGCUCAACUCCAGAACUGCCUUUGAAACUAGGUAGCUAGAAUCUUGGAGAGGUUAGUGGAAUUCCGAGUGUAGAGGUGAAAUUCGUAGAUAUUCGGAAGAACACCAGUGGCGAAGGCGACUAACUGGACAAGUAUUGACGCUGAGGUACGAAAGCGUGGGGAGCAAACAGGAUUAGAUACCCUGGUAGUCCACGCCGUAAACGAUGAUAACUAGCUGUUCGGGCUCUACGAGCUUGAGUGGCGCAGCUACGCAUUAAGUUAUCCGUCCGUCGGGUAGGUACGGUCGCGAGAAGUUAAACGUAACGAAAGGAAAGUUAGUAACGGUCGUGUUAGACGUGCCGAACGGACGACGACGAGGGAGGAGG